Molecule: long non-coding RNA, 857 nt
Filed under: Coturnix japonica (Japanese quail)
Lineage: Eukaryota; Metazoa; Chordata; Aves; Galliformes; Phasianidae
Description: lncRNA (ENSCJPG00005013286.1)
Source: RNAcentral
GUCUAAGGAAGUUUUGCCCUUCAGUAUCAAAAUAUAGUACUGGGAGGUGCUAAGUUUAUCCUGAAGAUCUCUGAGCAUACUCAGCUCCUGUGCAAGCAAGACAUGAAGUGCUUGUUGUAUCUGUUGACUUGGAUUCAAGGUCUUAUUAUGCAAAACAAAAUUCCAAUUGAAUCCAGUGUGAACUACUCAUAUGUAGACUUAAAUACUGGCUCUUAUCAUAUUUAGCUGAUGAUAAAUUAUGAGAUAACAUUCUGAUGUCUGAGUUACAUGCACUAAAGCUAGCCUUUGUGGGUAGAAGUGUGGUUCCUGGAGUGAUUGCCAAGAAGGAAUAAUCACCUUUAAAAAAAGCAAACAAAACAACUGCCAGUAUUUAUGUGUAUACUUGAGUUUGAAAACACCAUAACGAAGGAAGAAGUUCUAUUACUAAGGCAAAAAAUAUUCUGGUUUUUGACACAAGAGUCUGUGUUGAACUGUUUGCUACCUACAACCAGAAGGGGCAGCCUGAAGACAGUCUGGGGCCAUAGGAUAUAUGUAUUCUGCAAAGUAGAGGGAAGAAUUUGUAGGAAGCCACUCUUCCCCAGUUCUUCCACAUAGACUCUUAGCAGGCUGGAUUUUUUUUUACAAUGAAGUCAUCUAUAUGGCUGUUCUUUCUGUUUGUGCUAUCAUACAUGGCUUGCAGAUUGUGAAGAUAGAGACAUGGGAACAGGCUAAUACGAAUGCCUGGGAAUAGAAGAUAAUACAGAUUUUACCUUUCUCAAUGCUAAUUCUCUGGCUCUGCAUCUUGGCAGAUCCAUAAAAGGUUGUAUUUUAAGACUUCUGAGUCUAAAAUAAAGGUGUUGAAGAACAGUGUUUUAACA